UUCCUGGAAGCCUUGCGCGGCGCGCCCACUUUCCCUGCUGCAGUGUAUGGGCUGUGGGGCCUGGGUUGGACCCCACCUUAGGGGCCUGGGAGGGUCUCCGCUGUCAGCGCGUGGCGCGUCCCCCUCCCUUCCCGGGGUCUGCAAUCGCCCGUCCGUGGGGCAACUGAGCAGAGAACAACAAACAGAAUCUUGGCUCCCCUCGCUCUUGCGAAUCAAAAAGAUAUUCAUAACUGCACAGGCCAGGACUCGACCCCAAACUUCCCGCCUUGCGGGCCAGAAGACUAUCAUCGAACCACCAAUGCCAACAGAGAGACUUAGUCAGCUGUGUUCUCCCCAUGCAACUCUUCAAAGCAAGCCCUGGGCAAAUUAGUAAGGGCUAGCUUUGGCUGACAGUAACGUACUCAGGGCUAGUACUAGGUAUUGUAUUGUCUAUAGGGCAGGGGUUCUCAAACUGGGGGUUGGGACCCCUCGGGGUUGCAAGGUUAUUACAUGGGGGGGGGGGUCACAAGCUGUCAGCCUCCACCCCAAACCUCACUUUGCCUCAAGCAUUUACAAUGGUGUUAAAUAAAUAAAAACAUGAUUUUAAUUUAUUGGGGGUCACACACAGAGGCUUGCUAUGUGGAAGGGGUCAGCAGUACAAAAGUUUGAGAACCACUGCUAUAGGGGAAAACUUUUUUGGCAUCUACCUGUCCCCAAAUCAUGUAAGCAAAAAAAAACCCCACCCUCAAAACGAAGGAUUUGGCAUCCCAAAAUGUGGUGUGGGCAGUAGCUUUAGUCCUUAAAGCGGGCCCUCAUUUUGCUAGCGGAGAGUGUGGGGGUAGUCACUUGCUUUAAAGAAAUCAACAAAUGUCUGCCUGUUACCCUCAAAAACAAAUCAAGUUGAACAUUUUUAGGUUGAGCAAUAUGUCUAUUUGGGCCAAGAAAUUAACAUGUGCCACAAUCAGGAAGGUGAACUCUUGCGAAGAAAGAAAGCAGGUUGGUGUGCAUUCAAUUCUUAUCAAGUACGUCCUUGAAGGAAAAAUCAACAAGGCAACUCGUGCCAGCCUCUUCAGCUCAACAGUACUGCCAGCAACGUUGUACGGCAGCGAAACAUAGGCGCUGAUGAAGACAGAGGAGCAGCAACUGUCUGUCACGGAGAGGGUGAUGGAAAGAAGAAUUCUGGGGAUUUAAAUCCGUGACCGAGUCCCCAAUGAAGUGAUGAGACAGCAGAGUGGAGUGCAGGACGUCGCUGUUGAGAGCAGGCAUAGUAAAAUGCGAUUGUCCGGGCAUAUAGCGAGGCUCACUGACAAUUGAUGGACUGCAGCUUUCACCAAGUGGUACCCAUGCCGGGAACUGAAACGACCACUCAGCCGACCUCCAAAGAGAUGAGAAGAUUUUAUCGUGAAAAGACAUGGCCGCACAUGGAGAAGGAAGGCCAGGAUAUGAGAAGAAUGGAAGACAUGUGAUCGGCGCAAUCUAUACGAGGGCUGAUCGAUCAAGGCCCUCCCUGUGAACCAAGAGGGGUUGAGUAUGUGAACUUCAACCUAGCUGGAACAGGACCAAGGCGGUGUAUAUAAGUAAGAGAACUUGUGUGUAGGGGCCAGCUAUCACCAGCAGCAAGAACUUGCUGCAUAGGAGACAAUGGAGUCUUCACCUAUGCUGAACAUGGACAGAUCUCAGACCCAAACCAGAGGGGUGAGAUCGGCCGGAGGCAGGAUUUGCAUUUAGAUGUUUGUUGUUUUUCAAUAGAUCUGUAAAUCUUUUAUACUUCUGAGAGUAAAAUGUCGGUAUGUUCAAAAA
This is a long non-coding RNA of Chrysemys picta bellii (western painted turtle), 1779 nucleotides long. RefSeq lists it as uncharacterized. NCBI's taxonomy places the organism in Eukaryota, Metazoa, Chordata, Testudines, Emydidae. The record is from RefSeq and is a predicted model, not a curated record.